RNAcentral lists this ribosomal RNA (497 nucleotides) under uncultured bacterium. Its description in RNAcentral is "partial 16S ribosomal RNA". It matches the Rfam family "Bacterial small subunit ribosomal RNA", at positions 28 to 507 of the family's 1533-position model. The record is from RNAcentral.
GAUGAACGCUGGCGGCGUGCCUAAUACAUGCAAGUCGAGCGAACAGACGAGGAGCUUGCUCCUCUUACGUUAGCGGCGGACGGGUGAGUAACACGUGGAUAACCUACCUAUAAGACUGGGAUAACUUCGGGAAACCGGAGCUAAUACCGGAUAAUAUAUUGAACCGCAUGGUUCAAUAGUUCAAGACGGUUUUGCUGUCACUUAUAGAUGGAUCCGCGCCGCAUUAGCUAGUUGGUAAGGUAACGGCUUACCAAGGCGACGAUGCGUAGCCGACCUGAGAGGGUGAGCGGCCACACUGGAACUGAGACACGGUCCAGACUCAUACGGGAGGCAGCAGUAGGGAAUCUUCCGAAAUGGGCGAAAGCCUGACGGAGCAACGCCGCGUGAGUGAUGAAGGUCUUCGGAUCGUAAAACUCUGUUAUUAGGGAAGAACAAAUGUGUAAGUAACUAUGCACGUCUUGACGGUACCUAAUCAGAAAGCCACGGCUAACUACGUG